CUGUAUAAAAUACAUAUGCCACAUUGCGUGAAAUAUAUAUAUAUAUAUAUAUACACGUUCACACGUUAUAUACAUACUAUAUUAACGCACAUGACGGUUCCGUUAUAUGAUACACGCGCUCGGUCGUAUAUAUCUAUAUUGCGGUCCGUUUAAAUAUUGUCUAACGACACACGUUGAUUUUUAAUUUAUAUAUCAUACGACAAUGUUAGAGAUUAUCAUAAUAUUUGUCGAACGACCGACGGUGUUACCGCUGAUGCGCUUUACGGCGUAAGGCGGGGACGCUUUCGACUCUUCGAGUUGUGUUGUGUUGAGUGUUAUGUGACAAUAUCAUCCAUCACACAUACGAGAGGGUUGAUGGCGUGUGCAUGUUCUAAACAAGUUCGACGCCGUUCACAUGUCGCGAGACACAUAAAUAUUAUCAAUCUCUAUAUAACAAUUGACACGUAUACACAAAGAUAUAUAAAGCCGUAAAUCAUCGACAGUAGGCGGACUCGACGUCCGAAGAGCGCAUCGACGCCGUCGUCGUUAUCGAUCGUUAUUAUUGUAAAAAAUGUAACGUGACGUAGCGGUUGCGUCGUCGUAACGCUGACGGAUAUCGCGUCUGCCUCAUAUUUUUAUCGUUGGCCUCAGAUCAGGGAGGAUCACCCGCCGAAUUUAAGCAUAUUAGUAAGCGGAGGAAAAGAAACUAACUAGGAUUUCCUUAGUAGCGGCGAGCGAACAGGAAAGAAGCCCAGCACUGAAUCCCGCCGUCGUUAAGGCGGCGGGAGAUGUGGUGUUCGGGAGGUUCCGCUUUCUCGUCGCGAUCGCUCCUGUCCAAGUUCGUCUUGAACGGGGCCGUUUUCCCGUAGAGGGUGCCAGGCCCGUAGCGACGGAGGAUCGCGGCGAGAGGGACUCUCCUUAGAGUCGGGUUGCUUGAGAGUGCAGCCCUAAGUGGGUGGUAA
RNAcentral lists this small RNA (941 nucleotides) under Catocala longipalpis. RNAcentral's name for it is "eukaryotic LSU rRNA". The stretch from base 622 to 941 matches the Rfam family "Eukaryotic large subunit ribosomal RNA", at positions 1 to 302 of the family's 3401-position model. The record is from RNAcentral. Lineage: Eukaryota; Metazoa; Arthropoda; Insecta; Lepidoptera; Erebidae.